This 484-nucleotide ribosomal RNA is filed under the name uncultured bacterium. Its description in RNAcentral is "partial 16S ribosomal RNA". It matches the Rfam family "Bacterial small subunit ribosomal RNA", at positions 30 to 507 of the family's 1533-position model. The record is from RNAcentral.
AUUGAACGCUGGCGGCAGGCCUAACACAUGCGAGUCGAGCGGAUGAAGGGAGCUUGCUCCUGGAUUCAGCGGCGGACGGGUGAGUAAUGCCUAGGAAUCUGCCUGGUAGUGGGGGAUAACGUCCGGAAACGGGCGCUAAUACCGCAUACGUCCUGAGGGAGAAAGUGGGGGGUCUUCGGACCUCACGCUAUCAGAUGAGCCUAGGUCGGAUUAGCUAGUUGGUGGGGUAAAGGCCUACCAAGGCGACGAUCCGUAACUGGUCUGAGAGGAUGAUCAGUCACACUGGAGCUGAGACACGGUCCAGACUCCUACGGGAGGCAGCAGUGGGGAAUAUUGGACAAUGGGCGAAAGCCUGAUCCAGCCAUGCCGCGUGUGUGAAGAAGGUCUUCGGAUUGUAAAGCACUUUAAGUUGGGAGGAAGGGCAGUAAGUUAAUACCUUGCUGUUUUGACGGUACCAACAGAAUAAGCACCGGCUAACUUCGUG